RNAcentral lists this ribosomal RNA (510 nucleotides) under uncultured Nostocales cyanobacterium. Its description in RNAcentral is "bacterial SSU rRNA". It matches the Rfam family "Bacterial small subunit ribosomal RNA", at positions 340 to 863 of the family's 1533-position model. The record is from RNAcentral. Lineage: Bacteria; Bacillati; Cyanobacteriota; Cyanophyceae; Nostocales.
UACGGGAGGCAGCAGGGGGGAAUUUUCCGCAAUGGGCGAAAGCCUGACGGAGCAAUACCGCGUGGGGGAGGAAGGCUCUUGGGUUGUAAACCUCUUUUCUCAGGGAAGAACACAAUGACGGUACCUGAGGAAUCAGCAUCGGCUAACUCCGUGCCAGCAGCCGCGGUAAUACGGAGGAUGCAAGCGUUAUCCGGAAUGAUUGGGCGUAAAGCGUCCGCAGGUGGCAGUGUAAGUCUGCUGUCAAAGGUCAGGGCUCAACCCUGAACAGGCAGUGGAAACUACACAGCUAGAGUGCGGUGGGGGCAGAGGGAAUUCCCAGUGUAGCGGUGAAAUGCGUAGAGAUUGGGAAGAACACCGGUGGCGAAAGCGCUCUGCUAGGCCGUAACUGACACUCAUGGACGAAAGCUAGGGGAGCGAAUGGGAUUAGAUACCCCAGUAGUCCUAGCCGUAAACGAUGGAUACUAGGCGUAGCUCGUAUCGACCCGAGCUGUGCCGUAGCUAACGCGNUAA